CCUACGGGAGGCAGCAGUAAGGAAUAUUGCGCAAUGGGCGAAAGCCUGACGCAGCGACGCCGCGUGGGGGAUGAAGGUCUUCGGAUUGUAAACCCCUUUCGGGAGGGAAGAUGGAAUGAGCAAUCAUUCGGACGGUACCUCCAGAAGCAGCCACGGCUAACUUCGUGCCAGCAGCCGCGGUAAUACGAAGGUGGCAAGCGUUGUUCGGAUUUACUGGGCGUACAGGGAGCGUAGGCGGUUUAGUAAGCCCUUUGUGAAAUCUCCAGGCUUAACCUGGAACAGUCGGAGGGGACUGCUAAGCUAGAGUACGGGAGAGGAGCGCGGAAUUCCCGGUGUAGCGGUGAAAUGCGUAGAGAUCGGGAGGAAGGCCGGUGGCGAAGGCGGCGCUCUGGAACGUUUCUGACGCUGAGGCUCGAAAGCGUGGGGAGCAAACAGGAUUAGAUACCCUGGUAGUCCACGCCUUAAACUAUAGAAUACUAAGUGUCGGUCGGUUUACCGCCGGUGCCGCAGCUACGCAUUAAGUAUUCCGUCCGUCGGUAAGGUACGGCCGCGAGGUUAGAACUACAAGAAGUUAGACGGCGUGAGACGUGCCGACGGACGACGACGAGGGAGGUAGG
This 617-nucleotide ribosomal RNA is filed under the name uncultured bacterium. RNAcentral describes it as "bacterial SSU rRNA". The stretch from base 1 to 531 matches the Rfam family "Bacterial small subunit ribosomal RNA", at positions 338 to 873 of the family's 1533-position model. The record is from RNAcentral.